GCGUCAUCCCCGGGGGACCGCUGACGCGCGGUUGAGAGGGAGGCAGCAGCCUUCGACCCGCCGAACCUGAUCCGGUUGAGACCGGCGGAGGGAGGGAGGUCGCCAGACAC
This 110-nucleotide non-coding RNA is filed under the name Sphingomonas changbaiensis. RNAcentral describes it as "TPP sequence". It matches the Rfam family "TPP riboswitch aptamer (THI element)". From Rfam's summary of the family: Vitamin B(1) in its active form thiamin pyrophosphate (TPP) is an essential coenzyme that is synthesised by coupling of pyrimidine and thiazole moieties in bacteria. The previously detected thiamin-regulatory element, thi box was extended, resulting in a new, highly conserved RNA secondary structure, the THI element, which is widely distributed in eubacteria and also occurs in some archaea. Analysis of operon structures identified a large number of new candidate thiamin-regulated genes, mostly transporters, in various prokaryotic organisms. The record is from RNAcentral. RNAcentral also lists the same sequence under 1 other name. Lineage: Bacteria; Pseudomonadati; Pseudomonadota; Alphaproteobacteria; Sphingomonadales; Sphingomonadaceae.